AACCCCUCGCAUCCAGUUGCCAUCGGGCGAGCCGGGCACUCUGGAGGGACUGCCGGCGACAAGCCGGAGGAAGGUGGGGAUGACGUCAAGUCAUCAUGGCCCUUACGGCCUGGGCUACACACGUGCUACAAUGGUCGGUACAAAGGGUUGGCCAAGCCGCGAGGUGGAGCUAAUCCCAUAAAACCGAUCGUAGUCCGGAUCGCAGUCUGCAACUCGACUGCGUGAAGUCGGAAUCGCUAGUAAUCGUGAAUCAGAAUGUCACGGUGAAUACGUUCCCGGGCCUU
RNAcentral lists this ribosomal RNA (284 nucleotides) under uncultured Pseudomonas sp. RNAcentral describes it as "partial 16S ribosomal RNA". It matches the Rfam family "Bacterial small subunit ribosomal RNA", at positions 1098 to 1382 of the family's 1533-position model. The record is from RNAcentral. Lineage: Bacteria; Pseudomonadati; Pseudomonadota; Gammaproteobacteria; Pseudomonadales; Pseudomonadaceae.